RNAcentral lists this ribosomal RNA (492 nucleotides) under uncultured bacterium. Its description in RNAcentral is "partial 16S ribosomal RNA". It matches the Rfam family "Bacterial small subunit ribosomal RNA", at positions 29 to 507 of the family's 1533-position model. The record is from RNAcentral.
AGUGAACGCUGGCGGUAGGCCUAACACAUGCCAGUCGAACGGCAGCACAGUAAGAGCUUGCUCUUACGGGUGGCGAGUGGCGGACGGGUGAGGAAUACAUCGGAAUCUACUUUUUCGUGGGGGAUAACGUAGGGAAACUUACGCUAAUACCGCAUACGACCUACGGGUGAAAGCAGUGGAUCUUCGGACCUUUCGCGAUUGAAUGAGCCGAUGUCGGAUUAGCUAGUUGGCUGGGUAAAGGCCCACCAAGGCGACGAUCCGUAGCUGGUCUGAGAGGAUGAUCAGCCACACUGGAACUGAGACACGGUCCAGACUCCUACGGGAGGCAGCAGUGGGGAAUAUUGGACAAUGGGCGCAAGCCUGAUCCAGCCAUACCGCGUGGGUGAAGAAGGCCUUCGGGUUGUAAAGCCCUUUUGUUGGGAAAGAAAAGCAGCAGGUUAAUACCCCGCUGUUCUGACGGUACCCAAAGAAUAAGCACCGGCUAACUUCGUG